GGGCGUGUGGUGUAGUGGAAUCAUGUCUGCUUCGCAUGCAGAAGGCCCCGAGUUCAAAUCUCGGCACGUCCA
Molecule: transfer RNA, 72 nt
Filed under: Perkinsus chesapeaki
Lineage: Eukaryota; Perkinsozoa; Perkinsida; Perkinsidae
Rfam family: tRNA
About the family: Transfer RNA (tRNA) molecules are approximately 80 nucleotides in length. Their secondary structure includes four short double-helical elements and three loops (D, anti-codon, and T loops).
Source: Rfam by way of RNAcentral